This 253-nucleotide ribosomal RNA is filed under the name uncultured bacterium. RNAcentral describes it as "partial 16S ribosomal RNA". It matches the Rfam family "Bacterial small subunit ribosomal RNA", at positions 524 to 776 of the family's 1533-position model. The record is from RNAcentral.
UACGGAGGAUGCAAGCGUUAUCCGGAAUGAUUGGGCGUAAAGCGUCCGCAGGUGGCUGUGUAAGUCUGCUGUUAAAGAGUGAGGCUCAACCUCAUAAAGGCAGUGGAAACUACAUGGCUAGAGUGCGUUCGGGGCAGAGGGAAUUCCUGGUGUAGCGGUGAAAUGCGUAGAGAUCGGCAGGAACACCCAGGGGGAAGCCAGUCGACUGGGCAGCACCUGACGCUGAGGUGCGAGAGCGUGGGGAGCGAACCGG